RNAcentral lists this ribosomal RNA (488 nucleotides) under uncultured bacterium. RNAcentral describes it as "bacterial SSU rRNA". It matches the Rfam family "Bacterial small subunit ribosomal RNA", at positions 30 to 505 of the family's 1533-position model. The record is from RNAcentral.
AUUGAACGCUGGCGGCAUGCCUUACACAUGCAAGUCGAACGGCAGCAUGGAAGAGCUUGCUCUUCUGAUGGCGAGUGGCGAACGGGUGAGUAAAGCAUCGGAACGUACCGUGUAGUGGGGGAUAACGUAGCGAAAGUUACGCUAAUACCGCAUACGCACUGAGGUGGAAAGCAGGGGAUCGCAAGACCUUGCGCUAUACGAGCGGCCGAUGUCAGAUUAGCUAGUUGGUAGGGUAAAGGCCUACCAAGGCGACGAUCUGUAGCUGGUCUGAGAGGACGACCAGCCACACUGGAACUGAGACACGGUCCAGACUCCUACGGGAGGCAGCAGUGGGGAAUUUUGGACAAUGGGCGCAAGCCUGAUCCAGCCAUUCCGCGUGCAGGAUGAAGGCCCUCGGGUUGUAAACUGCUUUUGUACGGAACGAAAAGGUUUCCAUUAAUACUGGGAGCUCAUGACGGUACCGUAAGAAUAAGCACCGGCUAGCUACG